UGAACGCUGGCGGCGUGCCUACUACAUGCAAGUCGAGCGAACAGAUGCGGAGCUUGCUCCUCUGACGUUAGCGGCGGACGGGUGAGUAACACGUGGAUAACCUACCUAUAAGACUGGGAUAACUUCGGGAAACCGGAGCUAAUACCGGAUAAUAUAUUGAACCGCAUGGUUCAAUAGUGAAAGACGGUUUUGCUGUCACUUAUAGAUGGAUCCGCGCCGCAUUAGCUAGUUGGUAAGGUAACGGCUUACCAAGGCAACGAUGCGUAGCCGACCUGAGAGGGUGAUCGGCCACACUGGAACUGAGACACGGUCCAGACUCCUACGGGAGGCAGCAGUAGGGAAUCUUCCGCAAUGGGCGAAAGCUUGACGGAGCAACGCCGCGUGAGUGAUGAAGGUCUUCGGAUCGUAAAACUCUGUUAUUAGGGAAGAACAAAUGUGUAAGUAACUAUGCACGUCUUGACGGUACCUAAUCAGAAAGCCACGGCUAACUACGUG
RNAcentral lists this ribosomal RNA (495 nucleotides) under uncultured bacterium. RNAcentral describes it as "partial 16S ribosomal RNA". It matches the Rfam family "Bacterial small subunit ribosomal RNA", at positions 30 to 507 of the family's 1533-position model. The record is from RNAcentral.